GAGUCGGGCCGGGGGCCGCGCCGCGCCGGGUCUGCGCGGCGCCGGGUCUGCCGGAGCGCGGCUCUGACUCUCCCUUUUGCGUGUGUCGCCUGUAGGGCCCCGGUUCCUCCCCAGCGCGGGCCGGGGCGUGCGCUCGCCCCUGCGGACGCAGCCUGGAGGAGCGGGGGGGCAGGCGGGCCCCGGAGCGGGAUUAGGGCACGGCGUCGGCGGGAGGACGGCUCCUGAUGCAAUAGGCGUGCCCGAGAGUGCUGGUAGGUCAUGAAGGAGUUUAAAACCUCUGGACCAAAUAGGGUUAAGGUCAACUUGAGUUAGAUACGAUUAGUGCAGCCCCAAGUUAUUUACUUGAGAAUUGUGGCUAGGCAAGCAAGAAGAUGGGUAGAAGACAGAUGCUCCUGGACACCCUGAGGCCUCCCCUGCCCCCAGGCACAGACUGUGGGUACCAGCCGACCUGGGCACCAACUGAUUGGAACCCCCGCUGAGCCCUGCUCCCUCCUGUACAGCUGCCCUAAAGCCAUGAGUUUCCCUGGUGCAGCAUGUGUCGAUGGGUCCUCCAUUGCCUCUGACAUCUCCCCAGGCGCUCGUACGCUGCGCAGGGGUCUGGAUGUUUCCAGCAGCGGCACAGCAGCCUGAUGCCUCCUCUCGUCUGGGAUGCGGGGCCCUUGCAAUAUCCAAGGUAACACAAAUCUGGCUCCAACUGUAAUGUACGUAGGAGACAGCGAGUAUUAAGACACCAAAGAAUUCAAAAUGUUUGAAUCUGGAAGGACGAAAGAACAGCGUACUCAGUGAUCAGCCUUUCAGGUGAAGGAGACAACAGCUGUGGUUUUGGUCCCUGUUCCCUUGAUUAUUUCUGUAUGCAUGGGUUAGUGACUAUCUCAUCUAAUUAAAAAUAAACACUGUGAUCGAGGAUCAAAACUCACAGGUCCCUCUUUUCCUUGACAAAGCCGUAACUAAAUGCUGUUGAAUAUGUGUGAUAUGUUAUGUGCAGAGCCCUUUAAGAUUCCAUCUGAUUUCUUUGAUCUUGUUUUAGGGUGCUUUCAGUGUAUUUCCAGUGAGCUAUAGUUUGCUCAAAUAUGUAUAUGUAUUUAUGUAUAUGUUAACAUAUAUAUGUUUUAAAUUCCUCUUCCCUUUGCAUUACUCUACUGAUUUUUUUUCUUAUAACUGUCUCCCAUGUCAAGAAGAUUUAACAAAAUGAAAAGUAUGUCUUCAUAGGAUAAAGACACAUUUUUGUUAGUUACCGUAAUACAGACAUGAAAGGAAAGAUAAAAGAAAAGAGAAGUAGUUCUUCAGAUAAAGUCCGUUAAGUAUUCAUAAUGUGAUGACAUAGGUGAUUGUGAUAUUAUCUAGACAGAAGAGCUCUGCCGAAGGUAGCUUUCAGACAAUUAUAUUGGUAAAAAGAAAAACUGGUAAAAGCUGAUGAAGUCAUUAAAUUUUCAAAAGUUACAAAUUAUCCUGUAAAGCUUCAGUGACUGCAAAUUAGCCUUUGCUAUAGCCCUCUGCUAACAAGCUAUAGAUCAUUUUAUUAUUCAUGAAUUUUAGUAAUUUCAGGACACCACAGGUCAUCUUAUGCUCAUUUAUUUGCUAAACACCUUGUGCUGGUAUGCCUAUGCUGAAAAAUUGCUACUAUUUACUUCCCGUGAGACAAGCAAGCAACAAACUGGUGGAUUUGGCCCCAGACAUCCACUCUGCCAGGCAACAUAUACAUCUUGCUGUCAGUGAAAUAAAUGAGCCCUUAAAUUGGCUGCAAAGCUUUAAGAGCUGAAAUUUGUAUGUCUAGUUAUCAAACAGAAAGUUCAGAACACCUGCCAAUAUGAAACAUAAUUAUGACAAGCUGUUACAUUUUACCUUUAACUUUUCAGCUUUAACACCACAACUUCAUUAUAAGAAUCUCCUCCUCCCUGCCCCUCCUUUCUCCCUUCCCCCAGACUCAGCUCCCCUCCCAAAAAACGCUCACUGCAUUCCAUUGUAAAUGCUGAGUUAACGCUAAUACACUGGGUCAUCUAUCAGCAGACAAAAAAAAAAGUCAGACAUAUUAAAAAUGCUAGGAUUCCUCCUAAGAAUAACCACAAAUUUUCACAGAUUACCAAAAAUGGCUAACUGUGUGUAGAUACCUGACCUUUAUAACCGCCUUUGAAGGCUUUUCAGAGAAAGUCAAAAAUCAUGAAACAGACUUACAGAUUCCUUGUUUUGUUUUUUACUUGAAAAAAUCGAUUCAAUUACUUCUAUCUUAUUUCACUGACCGACUUCAUUAUCUUUCCUUUUGGGUCGCAGAGCCCUACGGCACAGGUUUUUGCCACAACAAAUCCAACAAUUGAUAAGCUGUUUGCUGUUUAUCCAAAUGUUCAUGGGAGGGCAAAAAAAGAAAAAAGCCACCAAAAAUAAAUGUUACUCUUCUUUAAACCCACUUUAAACUAUGCCCUGUGUGCACUAUAACUAAAUAUCUUCCCUUGUGUGCAUGUAUACCUCUGUGUUACAAACCACAAACAGCUAUGUGAGAAGAACACUAUUUAAAGGAAAGACUUUCUUCUUAGCUGUCAAGGAAGAUAAUAUCUAGGCUAAAAUUCAUUUCAACAUUUUUUAUAGAUAUAUAUAUAUAUAUAUGUAUAUAUACACAUAUACACACAAUAUGUAUAUAUCAAUAUGAAGAGCUUAAAAAUUACAACCCUUGACCAAUUGCACCCUUCUGGUCAAUAAAGUAAAUAUGAGCAAUAUGAGAAACAAAUCAAAUGUAUGAACUUUACCUCUUUUAUUACUUUGACCAUAUUAUUUCUUUUUUUAUAGCACCUGCAUACUGUAUUUUCAUUCAAGAAAUUUGAUUGCGGAUAAAGUAGUCCCUACAUGUCAUAGCAAAAAAAUGACACACUAGCCAAAGUUUAAGUCAAUGUAUUAGUCAAAACACACCUUCUUUUCUUCUUUUUCUGACCUUUUGCUACAGACAUAGAAAUCUCACAUAUAUUUUGGGGUUAACAGGACUUCAGCAGGGCAAUCUGUGUUUUAAGCAGGGUUUCUUGCUGGUUCAGAUAUAUUGUUUGUUCAGUGUUGGGAUCCUAUGUAUUCAUACUGCGUUUUGUGUACUGAUAAUGAAUUAAAACAGCAGAAAAUCAUAUACGUAUAUUUUAAAUGUGACAUGUCUGAUUUCAUUUUAAUGUGAUUUGAAAUAUUUCACCCUGAAUUUAUAAAAAAAAUCAUUAGCACAGCUAUACGCAUUGUCUUUUCAUGAUUUUAAUUUCUUAUUCUUCAAUUAAAAAUAUGCUAAAAGCAGAUUUUGCUUAAAUUCUGAGAUAGUUUGGAUAGACUUAGGACCAAAUUGUGGCUGCUUUCUGUGUGCAAGCUUUGACUAGAAAGGUGACACAAACAAACAUUUCUACCUGGUUUUCAAGGAUAUGUCAAUAAGGUCUAUUCACACCAGUGCACCAUUUAGCACCACCUGCGUUCAUGGAAAUCCAGAAGUAGCACAUGCCUCUGUUCACAGAAAUCUCAGCCAGCUUUCUCUGAUGCCUCGUACAACCAUCACUGCAGCCACCACUGUCGAGCUAAUUCAACUCUUCCAAAAAUCAGCAACUGCUGAUAAAUUCUUGUCUUAAUAUAAAAGUUGUGUUUCAA
Dromaius novaehollandiae (emu) is the source of this 3600-nucleotide long non-coding RNA. RefSeq lists it as uncharacterized. Lineage: Eukaryota; Metazoa; Chordata; Aves; Casuariiformes; Dromaiidae. The transcript is spliced from 2 exons. The record is from RefSeq and is a predicted model, not a curated record.